RNAcentral lists this transfer RNA (72 nucleotides) under Poecilia formosa (Amazon molly). It matches the Rfam family "tRNA". From Rfam's summary of the family: Transfer RNA (tRNA) molecules are approximately 80 nucleotides in length. The record is from Rfam by way of RNAcentral. Lineage: Eukaryota; Metazoa; Chordata; Actinopteri; Cyprinodontiformes; Poeciliidae.
GGGGGUAUAGCUCAGUGGCAGAGCAUUUGACUGCAGCUCAAGUUGUCUCUGGUUCAAAUCCAGAUGCCCCCU